UCAUUAUUAGCUAGCAUACAAAAUGAUGGCUUUCACUUUAACAUUUUCACAGAUAUGUGUCAUUGUAUCUUACUAAUAUUUGGACCCUAAGAGUUCCAUUGUGCCCUUCCUUUCUCCUGCUGUUCCUCUUCCCCCAAAACAUUUAUAUCAUACAUGGUGUAGAUCCCAUGUAGGAGAGAAAACAUGAACUAUCUGUCUUCUUGAGUCUAGCCUGUUUCUCUCAACAUCAUGACCUCACCCCUUUUAAGAGUAAUGAAAAAGGCAGGUAGGUUGCAAAUGAAACUCUUAUGCUACGUGUGUCUAUGUGCACUUUGGUGCUUGGGCAGGUGGCAUGAAUUCUGUUCUCAGGGUUUGUUGACUGAAUCAAUGCAGGGCCGGAAGCUGUGGCAGCGCCAACAAACGGCUGUCUUUACAGAUUAACACUCUGUUGACUUACAGCCUUGUGCGAUGACUCCAAAUAAAGGACCAUGAGAGGGUCCUUCAGCUCAAGGCUCCUCUUGGAAACUAGAUACAGGAGCCACUAGUAUGCCAGCGACAAGAAAUAUGAUGAAUUGUUGACAGCCCUUUUGGGGAAGGUACCUCCCAUUUGCUGCUCUGAAAAGGCACUGGGAAGAGACACCAGCAUUUCCUCCUCAUGAGGGUUGGCACUGUGCAGGCCAUGUGCUAAUGCAGUCAAACAAUCUCCCUUGAAGGGCACCACGUUGAUGGGGUGCUGUGCCAGCUGGGGAAACAGUGCUGCCUUUGAGAGGCACAAAGAGCCACUGUCCUUGCCCCUCUCUCAUCUCCAAAAACUGUUCGAGUCCAAGAACUUCUUGGUGGUGAUAACGAAGGCUCCUGGAAGAGUAUGCAGAAGGUUCUGGUCCUGUCACCUGUAGAAUUGUAGCCGAAACCAACCAACCGAGCAGGGCCCGUAAGAGCAGGGCCUCCCAGCCUCAGGUUUUUGUUUUUUUUGUUUUUUUGUUUUUUUUUUCUUUUUUCCUGGACUGUAAUCUGAAAGAAACAUAAGCUCCGUCAAAAACAGAAUGUCCUUUUCUCCCAGCAUCUGUGUGUUCUGAACUGCUCUGUCCUCAUCCACAGAGUGAGUCAGAGUCAACGACCACCUAUAUAUGAAUUCUACACUGCGAGGGAGAAGAGGUUGGAAUGGCUGACCACCAAGAACCUUUCCAGGAUGUGCCGUUAGGAAGCCAUGUAAUUCAUCUAGUCUGUGCUCACUGUGGCCUCAGACCUAAACAGUGUGUAUGUGCACAGCGCUGCCUUGGGUUCAAGUACAGAGUACAUGCGUAUUAGGAGCGAAGGCUAAACGUACAGAAUUGCUGUUAAGAACAUCGACUUACCAAACCUCCAUUGGGUACUUCCUGGGUUCAGCACCGGAAGACGAGGGAUAAAACUCUCACUGCUCUCAGAGAGAAAGAGGCUCAUUUGGCUCAUUGAUUGAAGAAAUACGGUGUGGGAAUCGUGGUAGCAGGUUCAAUGGGCAGCUGGUUCACGUAUGGCAGCUCGCUCAGUGUUCGACUGUUGAUUCCGUCUCAGCAGCCCAGGAAGCAGAGGAGGAGAAAGGCCAUUCUCUGUAUUUAGUCUGGUACUGUUUGGGGUUUGUGCCAUCCACGCUCUGCGUGGGUCUUCCCUCUUUCCUUAACCCUCCUGAAUACCUUCACACGAGCUAGAGGUGUCUCCUAGGUGAUUCUGAACCCAUAGAGGCUGACGGUGAAGAUGAAUCAUCAGAAUCCCACCCCCCAUCACUUUAAAACUCUAAUAUUCCCUCCCCCAACCCCCAAGGGCUCGUAGCCAUCUCGUGAUGUAAGAAGCAUCUAGUUCGCUGGAAGAAUCCCGAGCCUUAACAGUUUCAAUGACGUCCAAAAGCUCAGAAUCUCCUCUAAGACUCAAGGCAAUCUUGACUACGAGCAACUGUAAAUAAAAAUUAAACCAUAUACUUCUAAUACGCAA
Molecule: non-coding RNA, 1944 nt
Organism: Rattus norvegicus (Norway rat)
Lineage: Eukaryota; Metazoa; Chordata; Mammalia; Rodentia; Muridae
Source: RefSeq, a predicted model, not a curated record